UCUUUUUGAUUAAAAUUUAAAGUAANUUCUGCCCAAUGAUUUAAAUUUAAUGGCUGCAGUAUAUUAACUGUACAAAGGUAGCAUAAUAAAUUGUUUUUUAAAUGAAAACUUGUAUGAAUGAAUAAAUGAAAUAUAAACUUUAUUAAAAAAUUUUAUUGAAAUUUAUUUUUAAAUUAAAAAGUUUAAAUAAAUUAAUGGGACGAUAAGACCCUAUAGAAUUUUAUAAAUAUUAAAAAUUAAAUUUAAAAAUAUUUUUUUAAUAUUUAUUUUUUUGGGAGGAAAUUAAAAUUUAAUAAACUUUUAAUAAUUGAAUACAAAAAUAAUUGUUAUUUUUUAUGAWUUUAUUAAGUAAUAAAUUAAAGAUUAAAUUACCUUAGGGAUAACAGCGUAAUAUUUUUUUAUAGUUCAUAUUGAAAAAAAUGUUU
RNAcentral lists this ribosomal RNA (425 nucleotides) under Chlorepyris sp. RNAcentral describes it as "partial large subunit ribosomal RNA". Lineage: Eukaryota; Metazoa; Arthropoda; Insecta; Hymenoptera; Bethylidae. The record is from RNAcentral.